AUUGAACGCUGGCGGCAGGCCUAACACAUGCAAGUCGAACGCUGUAGCAAUACAGAGUGGCAGACGGGUGAGUAACGCGUGGGAACCUUCCCAGUGGUACGGAAUAGCUCAGGGAAACUUGAGGUAAUACCGUAUAAGCCCCUAGGGGGAAAGAUUUAUCGCCAUUGGAUGGGCCCGCGUCGGAUUAGCUAGUUGGUGAGGUAAUGGCUCACCAAGGCAACGAUCCGUAGCUGGUUUGAGAGAAUGACCAGCCACACUGGGACUGAGACACGGCCCAGACUCCUACGGGAGGCAGCAGCGGGGAAUAUUGGACAAUAGGCGCUAGCCUGAUCCAGCCAUGGCGCGUGAGUGACGAAGGCCUUAGGGUUGGAAAGUCCUUUUGGCAGGAAAAAAUUUUUGAUUGUACCUGCAGAAUAAGAGGUUGCUAACUCUGUGCCAGCAGCCGCAGUAA
This 451-nucleotide ribosomal RNA is filed under the name uncultured bacterium. RNAcentral describes it as "partial 16S ribosomal RNA". It matches the Rfam family "Bacterial small subunit ribosomal RNA", at positions 30 to 523 of the family's 1533-position model. The record is from RNAcentral.